GGAGAGGUACCCAAGUGGCUUAAGGGGCGGGAUUGCUAAUCCUGUAGGUCGGCAUCAGCCGGCGCGUGGGUUCGAAUCCCACCCUCUCCG
RNAcentral lists this transfer RNA (90 nucleotides) under bacterium. RNAcentral describes it as "tRNA-Ser". It matches the Rfam family "tRNA". Rfam says of the family: Transfer RNA (tRNA) molecules are approximately 80 nucleotides in length. Their secondary structure includes four short double-helical elements and three loops (D, anti-codon, and T loops). Further hydrogen bonds mediate the characteristic L-shaped molecular structure. tRNAs have two regions of fundamental functional importance: the anti-codon, which is responsible for specific mRNA codon recognition, and the 3' end, to which the tRNAs corresponding amino acid is attached (by aminoacyl-tRNA synthetases). tRNAs cope with the degeneracy of the genetic code in two manners: having more than one tRNA (with a specific anti-codon) for a particular amino acid; and 'wobble' base-pairing, i.e. permitting non-standard base-pairing at the 3rd anti-codon position. The record is from RNAcentral. RNAcentral also lists the same sequence under 1 other name.